GAUGAACGCUGGCGGCGUGCCUAAUACAUGCAAGUCGAGCGAACAGACGAGGAGCUUGCUCCUCUGACGUUAGCGGCGGACGGGUGAGUAACACGUGGAUAACCUACCUAUAAGACUGGGAUAACUUCGGGAAACCGGAGCUAAUACCGGAUAAUAUAUUGAACCGCAUGGUUCAAUAGUGAAAGACGGUUUUGCUGUCACUUAUAGAUGGAUCCGCGCCGCAUUAGCUAGUUGGUAAGGUAACGGCUUACCAAGGCAACGAUGGGUAGCCGUCCUGAGAGGGUGAGCGGCCGCGCGGGAGGGGAGGGGGGGGCGAGACUCCUACGGGAGGCAGCAGUAGGGAAUCUUCCGCAAUGGGCGAAAGCCUGACGGAGCAACGCCGCGUGAGUGAUGAAGGUCUUCGGAUCGUAAAACUCUGUUAUUAGGGAAGAACAAAUGUGUAAGUAACUAUGCACGUCUUGACGGUACCUAAUCAGAAAGCCACGGCUAACUACGUG
Molecule: ribosomal RNA, 497 nt
Filed under: uncultured bacterium
Lineage: Bacteria
Description: partial 16S ribosomal RNA
Rfam family: Bacterial small subunit ribosomal RNA
Source: RNAcentral